Molecule: unclassified non-coding RNA, 1212 nt
Filed under: Rhagoletis pomonella (apple maggot)
Lineage: Eukaryota; Metazoa; Arthropoda; Insecta; Diptera; Tephritidae
Description: sialic acid synthase, transcript variant X3
Source: RNAcentral
GAUCAGUACAAAGAUUUGCAAAACCAUGCAAAGGAAAUUGGAAUAGAUUUCAGUGCAUCGGCAAUGGAUGAGAUAAAAUGUACAGCAUAGCCUUCCAUUUGGUAGCAGAAGAGAUGGACGAAGAUGUGGAGCAGAAUCGGACACAAAGGAUGGAAAGGAGGCAGUUACGCAAUGCAACAAACCCGCUUGAGUUGUCCCAAGCUUUGGUAAACAAAGCAGCUUUUCGAAGGUGGCUAUCAGACGGGAAUCGAAAAAGAAUACGACGUUUUUCUUGCUCAAUGUAGCCUCAGCAAAGUGGUUAGCGAAGUUAUACAUAUUUUUGAAACUAAUCUUUGCACAAAAUGGAUCCGUUUUUGCAGAACAGCGGAAGAAAAACGCAAAAUUUCAUUGGCACUUUACCGUAAGCAUGGUAUUCCAAGUGUGAUGGGAUGCAUCGAUGGGACACGUCCGCAUUAUAGCUGCCUCCCAGAAUAAACACUUAUAUUAUAACAGAAAGGGAAAGUACAGCUUAAAUGUCAUGCUGGUGUGUGAUCAUCAUCUACGUAUUCAGUAUGUAGAUGCAUCCCACCCCGGUGCUUGUCACGAUUCCUUCGUUUGGAAUACCAGCGAGCUACGAACUCACCUUGAACGAGAAUAUUUAAGAGACUUGGGCAAUUAUUUUCUGCUUGGUAUAGUAUUUUGGCGAUAUUAGAUAGUACAAAUUAUUUAACUUUUUUUUAAUGGGGGACGCCGGAUAUCCUCUAGAGCCGUGGCUUUUAACCCCGCAUAGAAGUCCACAGGAAGGAUCCGUUGAAAUGAAAUUCAUCGAAGUUCACUCAAAAUGCAGAAAUGUUAUAGAACGUACCAAUGGGGUGCUAAAAAUCGAUGGAGAUGCCUUCUUGGAGCAAGAGAGUUGCAUUACUCCCCAGAAAAGGCAGGAAAAUCAUUGUGUGUUGUGCAUUGCAUAACAUAUGCCUUUUUUUCAGAGUGAAUAGUGUUAUGGAUUUCGACGAGUCACACAAUUCAACUGCCCAAGAAAGUGAGGUGAUAUCUCCUGCUUCAGCCCAAUAUUUGUCUACUGCGCAAAGAAUGAGAAAUAACAUUGGAAAUAACCCACCAUGCAAAACAUGAGAAAUAAGCAACAAUCGCCAAUGGCAGCAAAUUGGCGACUCACCGAUUUAUUGCUGUGGUGACAAAUCGGCAACAUCACUUCGUUCAUGUCAAUUUUGAAUA